GCCGCCAUGGUGAAAUUGGUAGACACGCUGCUCUUAGGAAGCAGUGCUCAAGCAUCUCGGUUCGAAUCCGAGUGGCGGC
Molecule: transfer RNA, 79 nt
Filed under: Saccharum spontaneum (wild sugarcane)
Lineage: Eukaryota; Viridiplantae; Streptophyta; Magnoliopsida; Poales; Poaceae
Description: tRNA-Leu
Rfam family: tRNA
About the family: Transfer RNA (tRNA) molecules are approximately 80 nucleotides in length. Their secondary structure includes four short double-helical elements and three loops (D, anti-codon, and T loops).
Source: RNAcentral